UUCGGCCACAUCACGCUGAAACACUGAUCCUCGUACAAUCACCGAAGUUAAGCAAUAUCAAGCCUGGUCAAUACCUAGAUGCGUGACCGCUUGGGAGCACCAGGUGCUGUAAG
This 113-nucleotide ribosomal RNA is filed under the name Acanthosepion pharaonis. Lineage: Eukaryota; Metazoa; Mollusca; Cephalopoda; Sepiida; Sepiidae. The record is from RNAcentral.